GUGCUUUGGCAGCACAUAUACUGAAAUUGGAAUGACACAGAGAUUAGCGUCACCCCUGUGGAUUAGGAUAACACACAAAUUUGUCAGGCAUUCCAUAUUUUU
This is a small nuclear RNA of Talpa occidentalis (Iberian mole), 102 nucleotides long. The record is from RefSeq and is a predicted model, not a curated record. Lineage: Eukaryota; Metazoa; Chordata; Mammalia; Eulipotyphla; Talpidae.